This 468-nucleotide ribosomal RNA is filed under the name uncultured bacterium. RNAcentral's name for it is "partial 16S ribosomal RNA". It matches the Rfam family "Bacterial small subunit ribosomal RNA", at positions 28 to 507 of the family's 1533-position model. The record is from RNAcentral.
GACGAACGCUGGCGGCGUGCCUUACACAUGCAAGUCGAACGGAAAUACCCUGCCUGCGUGGGGUUCUCGAGUGGCGAACUAGUUUGUAUCACGUGAGUAUACUGCCCCUGACUUUGGGAUAACUUCUGGAAACUGGGGCUAAUACCAGAUUGUCGCCCCUGAUGCACGGAGGGGGUUGGAAAGUUGCGCUGGUGGGGGAUUGACUGGCGGCUUAUCAGCUUGUUGGUGGGGUAGUGGCUGGCCAAGGCAUUGACGGGUGGCAGGCCUGAGAGGGUGAACGGCCACAUAGGGACUGAGAUACGCACCGGACUCAUACGGGAGGCAGCAGUGGGGAAUAAUGCACGAUGGACGGAAGCCAGACGCAGCAACGCCGCGUGCGGGAGGAAGGCAUUCGGGUUGUAAGCCGCUUUCGUCUAUAACGAAGCGUGAGUGACGGUAAUGGAUAAAGAAGCACCGGCUAACUACGUG